RNAcentral lists this transfer RNA (64 nucleotides) under Andrena chekiangensis. RNAcentral's name for it is "tRNA-Glu". Lineage: Eukaryota; Metazoa; Arthropoda; Insecta; Hymenoptera; Andrenidae. The record is from RNAcentral.
AUUUAUAUAGUUUAAAAAAAACAUUAUAUCUUCAGUAUAAAAUUAAAAUAAUAAUUUAUAAAUC